This 367-nucleotide ribosomal RNA is filed under the name uncultured bacterium. Its description in RNAcentral is "bacterial SSU rRNA". It matches the Rfam family "Bacterial small subunit ribosomal RNA", at positions 335 to 722 of the family's 1533-position model. The record is from RNAcentral.
ACUCCUACGGGAGGCAGCAGUGGGAAUCUUGGACAAUGGGGCACCCGUAGCAUCCAGCCAUGCCGCGUGAGUGAUGAAGGCCUUAGGGUCGUAAAGCUCUUUCGCCUGUGAUGAUAAUGACAGUAGCAGGUAAAGAAACCCGCCGUAUAUCCGUGCCAGCAGCCGCGGUAAUACGGAGGGGUUAGCGUUGUUCGGAAUUACUGGGCGUAAAGCGCGCGUAGCGGAUUAGUCAGUUAGAGGUGAAAUCCCAGGGCUCAACCCUGGAACUGCCUUUAAUACUGCUAGUCUUGAGUUCGAGAGAGGUGAGUGGAAUUCCGAGUGUAGAGUGAAAUUCGUAGAUAUUCGGAGGAACACCAGUGGCGAAGGC